GAUGAACGCUGGCGGCGUGCCUAAUACAUGCAAGUCGAGCGAACGGACGAGAAGCUUGCUUCUCUGAUGUUAGCGGCGGACGGGUGAGUAACACGUGGAUAACCUACCUAUAAGACUGGGAUAACUUCGGGAAACCGGAGCUAAUACCGGAUAAUAUUUUGAACCGCAUGGUUCAAAAGUGAAAGACGGUCUUGCUGUCACUUAUAGAUGGAUCCGCGCUGCAUUAGCUAGUUGGUAAGGUAACGGCUUACCAAGGCAACGAUGCAUAGCCGACCUGAGAGGGUGAUCGGCCACACUGGAACUGAGACACGGUCCAGACUCCUACGGGAGGCAGCAGUAGGGAAUCUUCCGCAAUGGGCGAAAGCCUGACGGAGCAACGCCGCGUGAGUGAUGAAGGUCUUCGGAUCGUAAAACUCUGUUAUUAGGGAAGAACAUAUGUGUAAGUAACUGUGCACAUCUUGACGGUACCUAAUCAGAAAGCCACGGCUAACUACGUGCCAGCAGCCGCGGUAAUACGUAGGUGGCAAGCGUUAUCCGGAAUUAUUGGGCGUAAAGCGCGCGUAGGCGGUUUUUUAAGUCUGAUGUGAAAGCCCACGGCUCAACCGUGGAGGGUCAUUGGAAACUGGAAAAUUUGAGUGCAGAAGAGGAAAGUGGAAUUCCAUGUGUAGCGGUGAAAUGCGCAGAGAUAUGGAGGAACACCAGUGGCGAAGGCGACUUUCUGGUCUGUAACUGACGCUGAUGUGCGAAAGCGUGGGGAUCAAACAGGAUUAGAUACCCUGGUAGUCCACGCCGUAAACGAUGAGUGCUAAGUGUUAGGGGGUUUCCGCCCCUUAGUGCUGCAGCUAACGCAUUAAGCACUCCGCCUGGGGAGUACGACCGCAAGGUUGAAACUCAAAGGAAUUGACGGGGACCCGCACAAGCGGUGGAGCAUGUGGUUUAAUUCGAAGCAACGCGAAGAACCUUACCAAAUCUUGACAUCCUUUGACAACUCUAGAGAUAGAGCCUUCCCCUUCGGGGGACAAAGUGACAGGUGGUGCAUGGUUGUCGUCAGCUCGUGUCGUGAGAUGUUGGGUUAAGUCCCGCAACGAGCGCAACCCUUAAGCUUAGUUGCCAUCAUUAAGUUGGGCACUCUAAGUUGACUGCCGGUGACAAACCGGAGGAAGGUGGGGAUGACGUCAAAUCAUCAUGCCCCUUAUGAUUUGGGCUACACACGUGCUACAAUGGACAAUACAAAGGGCAGCGAAACCGCGAGGUCAAGCAAAUCCCAUAAAGUUGUUCUCAGUUCGGAUCGUAGUCUGCAACUCGACUACAUGAAGCUGGAAUCGCUAGUAAUCGUAGAUCAGCAUGCUACGGUGAAUACGUUCCCGGGUCU
Molecule: ribosomal RNA, 1372 nt
Filed under: uncultured bacterium
Lineage: Bacteria
Description: bacterial SSU rRNA
Rfam family: Bacterial small subunit ribosomal RNA
Source: RNAcentral